RNAcentral lists this unclassified non-coding RNA (388 nucleotides) under uncultured fungus. RNAcentral's name for it is "sequence contains ITS1". The stretch from base 1 to 104 matches the Rfam family "5.8S ribosomal RNA", at positions 50 to 154 of the family's 154-position model. The record is from RNAcentral. Lineage: Eukaryota; Fungi.
GAAGUGCGAAAAGUGUCAUGACUUGCAGAGUCUUUUUGAGCUGACAAAUCUCUGAAUGCAAAUUGCAGCCGGCGCAAGAUCCGGCUAUAUAUCGUAGAGUGUAGAUGCUCCAGCACAUCAUCACUCAUUAGUUUGAAAAGAGCAAUCUUUUCUCUAAUAGAGUGGACCUGCGUUUGUGGCGCUAAGUGCUACGAAUCGUCAAAUUAAAAGACGACGCCGUUGUCUGUUGGAAGGUCUCGUGCCUUUCAGCAGAUUAACUGCGCACAUCGUUGGAAUUAAAACCCCCAUGCGAUUGUGUUUGCGGUUUUCAAACGUGCUUUAUGCCGUCUCAAUACUUAAUUGUAUCAAUGAGCCACCUCUACGAUAUAGGAUAACCCGCUGAACUUAA